RNAcentral lists this long non-coding RNA (1234 nucleotides) under Equus caballus (horse). RNAcentral describes it as "lncRNA (ENSECAG00000052434.1)". Lineage: Eukaryota; Metazoa; Chordata; Mammalia; Perissodactyla; Equidae. The record is from RNAcentral.
GCUGCACAGUCAGGGGUCGUCCUGGGUUCCUGCUGUGUGCACGCGGACAGCAGGAACAGGGCAGAGCCCCUGCUGGGACACCUGCUAUUGUGCGUCAUUUUUACAUGAAUGAAAUGGCCAUUUGGGUGACUUGGGGUGGCGCCUGCCCUACAGUAAUCUCCCCCUUUUCUUGGCUUGGUUUGCUCUUGCCUCCUGGGGGUGUUUAUUCGCAAGGCCGUGAGGUCGCCUGCCCUCAGCGCACCAGCAGCGCUGGGCACUGCGCGCCCAGGUCCUGCGCCCAGGGUGGUCCUUCACCUUCCUUAGGCUGCGGCGCCCGGGACAAACGUGUUCAUUUCACCUCUUCUGGUUCCCGCCCUGGCAGCGGUGGGCUGCUUCCAGGACCCUCUUCCUGCUGGCCACUCAAUAGGACCUCACUGUGACCACGAGGCCCCCUCCCCCCAGAUGAAGGUGGGAGCCUGUGCCCCAGAAAGCGGACAGAGGCACAGAGACCCAGACACAGAGGGAAGAAGGCCGUGUGAAGAUGGGGCAGAGCUGUGGCGAUGCUGCCACCAACCAUGACACCCGGGGCCACUGGAAGUCGGAAGAGGUGUCCUGGGCCGUGUGGCUGCCUGGAAAGAACUCCUCUUCCUCAUUCAGGCGGGAAGCACCAAGUCCCUCUCUCCUGUCCUCGCUCAGUGAGGACGAGCAGCAGAUCAACUUCCACGCAAGCAUCAUUGUUUACGAAGCCCGCCGGCCUCCGCCACAGAAGCAGCACAGAGUGAUUGAGAAGUCUCAGGCUGGGGUUCCGCCACUUGGGGAGCCUGUCCCACUGCAGGCUGGCCACGUGGCCUUCGGAGAAUCACCUCCCCAUCUACACCCAGCAUCUUCCCCUGUGAAUGGGGAUAAAGAUUGUGUUUUGAGGACUGAAGGAGGUCAUACGUGUCAGGGACUUGCAGCAGUGUCUGGCAUACAGAGGAUCCCAUCAAGGUCAUCUACAAGAGGGACAUAAUUAGGCAGAGCCGGUGUAACACACACCUUCACUCACACGUGCAUAUGUGUGGGGGUCGACGGGGAGACGAGGGAGGGGCAGACCCAUCUACAAAGAUCUUUGAUCCUUCAGAGCCAGCACUAAUCCAGUGAAACAAGACCUAUGUGGAUGUUACCUCUGCUCUGCAUUUUACUCCACCUCAGUGGAAGUUUGUUAAAAAAAAAAAAAAUCAACUGAGCAAAUUUUAAAGGGCUUAUUGGCCUCACU